Molecule: small nucleolar RNA, 119 nt
Filed under: Mesocricetus auratus (golden hamster)
Lineage: Eukaryota; Metazoa; Chordata; Mammalia; Rodentia; Cricetidae
Description: Small nucleolar RNA SNORA25 (ENSMAUG00000005460.1)
Source: RNAcentral
UGGUCACUUAAAGAGGGCUCCUGUGCUGUGAAAUCAAAAGCUCUUAAUGCUGUGACAUUAUUGAGGUUCUUUACAGAAAGUCACUGUUUUCCAUGUUGCUAUUUCCUGAAGAAAUGUGA